AUACGGAGGGUGCAAGCGUUACUCGGAACCACUGGGCGUAAAGCGCGCGCAGGCGGCUUGAUAAGUUGGAUGUGAAAGCCUACGGCUCAACCGUAGAACUGCAUCCAAAACUGUCAAGCUAGAGUCUGGGAGGGGAAGAUGGAAUUAGUUGUGUAGGGGUAAAAUCCGUAGAGAUAACUAGGAAUACCAAAAGCGAAGGCGAUCUUCUGGAACAGUACUGACGCUGAGGCGCGAAGGCGUGGGGAGCAAACAGGAUUAGAAACCCCGGUAGUCC
RNAcentral lists this ribosomal RNA (274 nucleotides) under uncultured bacterium. RNAcentral describes it as "partial 16S ribosomal RNA". It matches the Rfam family "Bacterial small subunit ribosomal RNA", at positions 523 to 796 of the family's 1533-position model. The record is from RNAcentral.